UGCACAGUGGUCAUCCUGCAGGAAAGAGAUGAAGGUCUGACCAGUGAGCAAAGACUUAGGACAUGGUCCCAGAAGCCGGGGAGGGAGCACCUGGGUGGGUUGCUCCAGGAGCACACAGCCCACAAGGGCAGCCGGCACUCUCCCCGGGGCGGGUGAGUGGACUUGUUACAGACUACAGUGAGAUGGCACUCGUGUGAUAAGGCUCUAGUUCAAUCCGCCUUUGUGUCUCAUCAAAAGCCAGUGUCAGCGUCCUCGGCAGACACGUGGGGUCUGUCCCGUCACCCACUUCGGACACGUCCACAGACGCUGCACAGGCACUGGGCCUGCCUCGGAGGCCGGAGGUCCACAGCUCUGCGGACCCGGGAGUGAGGCCAUCAGACGGCAGUCAUCCAACCACCUCGGAGGCCACUGGUGCAAAGUUUCCAUCCGUGCUAGGAUGGCAGGGACUCUCCCCACAGGCCGGACCGGCUGUCCUGCCGGGUAUUUGGAGCUCUGCCUGCCUGCUGGCCGGUUCUGCUCCCGUGCAGAGAGGGGGCUCUCUGGCUGAAAAUACUCUGCAGUGUCUCGGGAGGCCUGAGUUUUCCCUCCGAUAUGGGGGAUUUUCAAAACAAAAGCUCGUGACUUCA
This is a long non-coding RNA of Suricata suricatta (meerkat), 626 nucleotides long. RefSeq lists it as uncharacterized. The record is from RefSeq and is a predicted model, not a curated record. The transcript has 2 exons. NCBI's taxonomy places the organism in Eukaryota, Metazoa, Chordata, Mammalia, Carnivora, Herpestidae.